UAGGGACCGUACACGUGCAUUACUAACUUGCGGAUGCGUACUAAGUUUUUCCUUGCAAGCUAUUAGCUUUUCCUUAUAUUCACGUUACGAAAUGGCAUUAGGUGUUGGCCAGAAAAUUACAAUUGGGUGGUAGGAUCAUAUCCAUUGGCGUGGGAUUAUACAGCUUUCAACUAUCAAAAAAUUAUAUAAAUAAACAGCGAUACAAAGAAAUGAAACUUAGAGAUAAGUUGAAAGAGGAAUACAAGUUACAGUAAAAUAACAAAUAUUAAGGGAAUUAUUUUUUUUUAGUUGUACUACAUAAUAAU
Molecule: long non-coding RNA, 305 nt
Organism: Ceratosolen solmsi marchali
Lineage: Eukaryota; Metazoa; Arthropoda; Insecta; Hymenoptera; Agaonidae
Exons: 2
Source: RefSeq, a predicted model, not a curated record